AUUGAACGCUGGCGGCAUGCUUUACACAUGCAAGUCGAACGGCAGCGCGGGCUUCGGCCUGGCGGCGAGUGGCGAACGGGUGGGUAAUGCAUCGGAACGUGCCCAGCAGUGGGGGAUAGGCCGGCGAAAGCCGGAUUAAUACCGCAUACGACCAGAGGGUGAAAGCGGGGGACCGAAAGGCCUCGCGCUAUUGGAGCGGCCGAUGUCGGAUUAGCUAGUUGGUGGGGUAAAGGCUUACCAAGGCGACGAUCCGUAGCUGGUCUGAGAGGACGACCAGCCACACUGGAACUGAGACACGGCCCAGACUCCUACGGGAGGCAGCAGUGGGGAAUUUUGGACAAUGGGGGCAACCCUGAUCCAGCCAUGCCGCGUGCGGGAAGAAGGCCUUCGGGUUGUAAACCGCUUUUGUUCGGGAAGAAAACCUCUGGGCUAAUACCCCGGGGGGAUGACGGUACCGGAAGAAUAAGCACCGGCUAACUACGUG
RNAcentral lists this ribosomal RNA (484 nucleotides) under uncultured bacterium. RNAcentral's name for it is "partial 16S ribosomal RNA". It matches the Rfam family "Bacterial small subunit ribosomal RNA", at positions 29 to 507 of the family's 1533-position model. The record is from RNAcentral.